CCACUGGUUUAAUACAAAGAGGUUACACUACUGAAGACAUGAAAUUGAAAGAAGGCAUACAAAUUUGGCAGCAGGGACGUCAAAUGGAAGACAUAGAUUUGCUUUGAUAGUUCUGGGAAAAGUGUGGAAUCUUUUAAGGAACCAACACACCACACACUAGAGUGGCCUAUUCUAAAGUAGAUUCCCAGUUGUCAGAUGUCCACUACGCACUAGGUUGAAGGAAAAUGUCAGUGGAGUUUGGAUAUUCAUUGGCAGGAUUAUAACAGGUCUGUAUAUUAAUUAAUAGGAGAAGGUAUUAAAGGUGAUCAACAAACAUAUAUUGUCUGUGUCAUUUUCAAAUGAACUGUCCCAGUAUUUGCCUUAAUUGAUUUAUGAAGAUAACAGACAUGUCAACAUGAAGGGCCAUGUGGGGAUUUACAUGUUGUUACUCUUGAAUGUGAGUGCAGUGCCUUAAGCAUUGUGCCCCAUUACUUUAUGAAUUCAAAUGUGCACUGCUGCAAGGAACACAACACAAUUCUCAUGAAACCUUGCAGGGACAAUUCCAGAAUCCGUAUUCAAGAUGGUAUGCCAAUGUAUAUAUCGUAAAGGGGACAUGGUAUGAGAGAUUAGAAGGCAUGUAGAGAAGAGACAAGGUCAAUCAUUUUUCACUUUACUCUAUUCAUAUAUGGGAUAGGACAGUGUGUGGCCAAUGGUGGUAUAAAGUAUCCUCCACAAAGCACUGUGCAGUGGCAUUUACAGUAUAUAUUUGAAAACAGAUGUAGCAGUAGGUUCCCAUUAAUAAUAGUUUUGGUGUGCAAUAUCAAUAAAGUUGUAGAUAAACUUUAUGCGUUUCAGUAUUACGAUAAAAUACAAUGCCGAUAUGGAAAAAUAUUAUUCAUUACUGGAAAGCCACAAAUAUGUAUACAACAAGACGAACAUAGUUUCUUGCUGAUAAAUUCUGUUGCACAUAUAUGAAGGCUAAUGUUAUGCUACAGCAAUAAGAAUCAUUUUGAACCUCAAAUUAUACUAACUCGACUAACAUUAGAAUUUAUCACAGGACAAGGGCACUUUCACGCUCAGGUUCCAGGAACAUACAUCUAGUUAUGAACACUACUGUUUAAUCCUCCCGGACUCAUGAAUUAACAUCUUCUGUAUUUACUGAUGAGCUGUUGAAAUAUUUCGUGCCAGUAUGCAUUUCUCCACUGUUAAAUUCAUGCACAUAUGCAUAGUUUACACACUGUUCUUCAAUGAUAUACAGCCUCUACCCUCUCAGAAGCAUUUUUUAUUCUGUUGCUGUAGAUAUCUGUAAAUCUUUUCUCACAUUUCUUUGCAACAUGGCCAAGACUCUUGUCUAGCAGAUGGAAUUUAACUCAACUUCAGGAUUUUUUCCCAUAGGCAUUACAGGUACUAAAUUCUCUAUACCAUCAUAGUUUAUAAAUGAACAAGCAUGCCACAACUAAUUUUAUUAUAAUUUCUAUGAGAAUUAAAUGACAGGAAGAUGCCAUUUCUAUGUAAAAGUUUUUCUUGGUUAGUUCAAGUAUUUGUUUUGUAUUUUAUUAUUUGUUUCAGGUACUCCAGUGGCAUGGGACAGUUGGACUUCAUCAGAAGAUAUCCCUACAUCACAGCAUAUGCAGCAUGGAACUAUCACCACUGCGUGAACUACUGAGGAGGACCAGAAAACAUAUUACAACUAGGGAUUUCCAAGGAAGUGAAAAGCAACAAUGUAGAAAAUUGAAAUCGAUGAAAAAUUAGUACAGUGGGCUGGAGUCUAGUAGCCACUCAAGUUAACCAACCUGAUGUACAUCGAGGUCUACAAUUAGCACUCUGGCUAUCCUCUGCUGAUCCAGAAACCAUUUUGCAGUGACAGCCAAAUCAUUUAUCAGGCAAAAGCCAGUGCCUCUGUCAGGAAAAGCAUGAUGAGUACCUCCCGCUGUGCUACAAGCAAGACCAUGCUCGAGAGCCAGAGCUGCAGCCAGAAGUGUGCCACCUGUAAAACUCUGCAUUGCUGUGUGAUUGACAGCAUACUGUAAGCAGUAGAAUGUUCCACUAUCUAUGUUGGAACAAGCUGAGAUGGUGUUUGUGUACAGCCAGGCAGAUGGAAUAGUCGUCUUGAUGUACUUUUAUUAGGUUUAUACAACUGUAUGUAUGGUAUUGUUCAGAUGAAUCUGUAGUUCAUAUAUUUAUCCCAUAUAAUUGUAAAAUGGUUUAGGGACAAAUAAACCUGUGUCACUUUGAUUAGACACUGAAAAUGGCAUAAUGUAAUUUGCCAUAAGCAUACUCAAUUCCAGAAAAUAUUACCGAUUUCUGACAGUCCUGUCUGUUGCGAUACAGUUUAGUUCAAAUUAAACUGGGGCAUAUCUUCCUGAU
Schistocerca nitens (vagrant locust) is the source of this 2346-nucleotide long non-coding RNA. RefSeq lists it as uncharacterized. NCBI's taxonomy places the organism in Eukaryota, Metazoa, Arthropoda, Insecta, Orthoptera, Acrididae. The transcript is spliced from 3 exons. The record is from RefSeq and is a predicted model, not a curated record.